AGCAAAGGCGGUGCAGCUAAAGACUGAGUCCCUACAGAAAAACUCUUGCUGAAGGAGAGCAGGUUCCGGGUCUACUUGUACUGGCGCCUAGUGGAAGAGAGUCGACGCUUUCGAGCAAGAUGAUGGAAGAUCUGAGAAGCCAAAUGGGAUAGAGAUUAGCAGUAACAAGAAGAUGCCACCACUCCCGGGACAGAAGGGACAAAGGAAAGAAAUGGUUACCAGAGUCCAGAAGCUGAAGCCACUGAGCAGGAACCGAAACUACAGG
Sus scrofa (pig) is the source of this 265-nucleotide long non-coding RNA. RefSeq lists it as uncharacterized. Lineage: Eukaryota; Metazoa; Chordata; Mammalia; Artiodactyla; Suidae. The record is from RefSeq and is a predicted model, not a curated record.